This is a long non-coding RNA of Panicum virgatum (switchgrass), 1585 nucleotides long. RefSeq lists it as uncharacterized. NCBI's taxonomy places the organism in Eukaryota, Viridiplantae, Streptophyta, Magnoliopsida, Poales, Poaceae. The record is from RefSeq and is a predicted model, not a curated record. The transcript is spliced from 2 exons.
GCCACUCCCUCUCCGUGCAAAAUCCCAGACACCAGCAGCACCACAGUUAGCCAGCACUAGCACGCCGCAUCCACAGCUCCCAUCAGCCACAGCACUAGCAGCUUCUCCUACCUCGAGCAAGCAGCAAGAAGAGCUUGCUGCGCGGCGUUACCUAAUUUGACACUACCAGCUUGCAAUUCACUUGCAGAGGCACGCACACCUAAUUAACACUGCCAUGGCACCAGUGUCGGCGGAGGCGGCCAGCUACCUCGUGCUAGGCGGCAGCAUUGCGUGCGCCUGGGGCGCCGUUUACGCCGCGCCUUGCGAUGAUGGGUCGCGCAGCGCGCGAGGAAUGGCGGAGCCGGACAGCGACGACGACGACGACGACGACUAUGACUGCGCUCCGGCUGCCUGAACCAACCGUUCUAAUGAAAUUAAACUGGUUUGUGACAUGACAUAUUGCGCGAAGUGGCCAAGAACUUGCAUUGUAGGCUUGUAGCUGUACUACUACUGCUGCUGCUGCCCGAAUAGAGCGCCAUCGCCGCAGCACGGCAGCAUGCUAAUAAUCCGAUCGGUUUAGGUGUUUACGGCUUCUUACAUAUGUAAUUCUCGUUUAGCUUACGAUCGAGGCAGUUAAGCGUGGUUUUAAUUUUGUCCCAGGACUAAUAAGCUAGAGUUCAUGCAGGCUAUAGCUUGUGUAAUCAAUAAAAGAUCGAGUUAGAUUAGAUCUGUACUUCUGAUCUGAUGAUGAAAUAAACUGGAAUUUCCCUGAAUGUGUGUACUUCGGGCACCUACCAUUUACUGCUUAACGACCUGCUACACUUUUGUUUGCUGAUCAGUAGUGAUCAUGCUCGUGCUAUUCGAAGUGGAUUGCAUGUUGCCUAUCUCAUGGCUUGUUUAGUUUGGUCAUUGCAUGCAUGCAUGUAUGGACGACUGUUAAGUGUAUUGUCUACACAACUCCAAGCGAGAGAGCUGAUACAGGGGUGUUAAUUGACGAUCCUUAGUUGCACCUCCAACUCUCUUUAGUUUAAAGUUUUGUACUAAUUUUUCAAAUUGAGAUAUCAUUUUGAAGAAGUAAUAACUAAAUAAAGUUGGAGGUGCACCUAAUUAAGAGUCAUCAAUUAACACCACUAGGCUGAGAAGCGUCCUAAUUCGGCCUCUCGGGCAAACCAAUUUCUCUACGAUUUGAACAAUGGUGCGCACAACUGUAUCUUGAGAAUUAAAGUUUUUUGUUUUCCUCAUAUUAUUACGAUCGACAUACUAUGUCUAGACUUUGUCGAUUUGCAGAAUACUAAUAACGGACAUCUUUGUAUCUUACGCAUGGAAUUGAAGGAUCAGGGGUUACAGUUGCUCAGAAAGGCCAAUGACUCGUUCAGCCUAGGGGAAGGAGAAAAGUCUUGUCAAACGCCAACACAGUCAUGGUAGGGUCAAAGACUGGUCAAAGGUGGUCCAGCGGCAGUUUGUGGUUCGGACGAGAGGAUAACAUCAGCAUAAGAUCCAGGAGUCCGAUUAUUUUGGGAUAUCUUGUAAACACUACGUGAGAAAUAAAGAUUUGUAACGGGCACGGAUGGCCCUUCCGUAACGGGCAUAGCAACCGUUACUGUUA